RNAcentral lists this small nucleolar RNA (181 nucleotides) under Lachancea mirantina. RNAcentral describes it as "Small nucleolar RNA snR35". It matches the Rfam family "Small nucleolar RNA snR35". The record is from Rfam by way of RNAcentral. Lineage: Eukaryota; Fungi; Ascomycota; Saccharomycetes; Saccharomycetales; Saccharomycetaceae.
GAAAACCAAUAAUCGUGCGGAUUAUAAAAACCAGGACUAUAAAACCGUGUUGCUAGUAUACCGUCUUUUAUGGUGCACUUAGCGUCAAGUCCAUCGGAGAGACCAUUCUCGUUCAUCUUAGUGCCCUUUUGUGUAAAGUCAAAAUCUCACCUUUAGACGAGGGCUGGUAGAACGUACAGAU